RNAcentral lists this ribosomal RNA (252 nucleotides) under uncultured bacterium. Its description in RNAcentral is "partial 16S ribosomal RNA". It matches the Rfam family "Bacterial small subunit ribosomal RNA", at positions 524 to 776 of the family's 1533-position model. The record is from RNAcentral.
UACGUAGGUCCCGAGCGUUGUCCGGAUUUAUUGGGCGUAAAGCGAGCGCAGGUGGUUUAUUAAGUCUGGUGUAAAAGGCAGUGGCUCAACCAUUGUAUGCAUUGGAAACUGGUAGACUUGAGUGCAGGAGAGGAGAGUGGAGUUCCAUGUGUAGCGGUGAAAUGCGUAGAUAUAUGGAGGAAUACCGGUGGCGAAAGCGGCUCUCUGGCCUGUAACUGACACUGAGGCUCGAAAGCGUGGGGAGCAAACAGG